Molecule: unclassified non-coding RNA, 559 nt
Filed under: uncultured fungus
Lineage: Eukaryota; Fungi
Description: partial contains 5.8S ribosomal RNA, internal transcribed spacer 2, and large subunit ribosomal RNA
Rfam family: 5.8S ribosomal RNA (bases 190-354)
Source: RNAcentral
AACGCACAUUGCGCCCCUUGGUAUUCCGAGGGGCAUGCCUGUUCGAGCGUCAUUACACCACUCAAGCCUCGCUUGGUAUUGGGCGCCGCGGUCCGCCGCGCGCCUCAAUGUUUCCGGCUGAGCUCUCUGUCUCUAAGCGUUGUGGUUAAAACUAUCCGCUUGCGAGAUCGGGGGGCGUCUGGCCGUUAAACCAUUACUCAAAGGUUGACCUCGGAUCAGGUAGGGAUACCCGCUGAACUUAAGCAUAUCAAUAAGCGGAGGAUGACACACUGCAGUCAGUCUUGUGAAUCAUCGAGUCUUUGAACGCACAUUGCGCCCUUUGGCAUUCCGAAGGGCAUGCCUGUUCGAGCGUCAUUAUCACCCCUCAAGCUCGGCUUGUAGUUGGACGUCGGUGGUCGUUUUAUCGGUCACCCGCCCCAAAGAUAAUGACGGCGUCUGUGAGGACUCCAGUACACUGAGCUUCUUCGGAGCACGUAUUGGCUAGAAGUCCAGGCCCGGUCUCACCUAUUAUUUUUAUAAAGUUGACCUCGGAUCAGGUAGGGAUACCCGCUGAACUUAA